AGCAGUAAACUUCCAUUAAACGGCGUCUGAUACAUUGGAAUAGCGAAAGGGAAAACAACGGAGUCCAAUGAUGAUACAAACAUGCUCAAAUAAUGUGGAAAGCUUUGAAAUCUGUUCCGUGGAAAAUUCCAUGUGACGAAUCUGGGCCGUCCAACAUCUGCUGGAAUCUACGUGAAACGAUUUGCGUGCACGCGCAUAUCUCCAGAUAACAUGAUCCCCAGUUGAUCCAUAACACCCACCAAUGUCUGUGACUAAUACUUUGUCAAAAUAGAAGAUGUGAUAGUCUAUAAGCCCCAUAUCUGUUGAUUUUUGUUUUACCUUUGUCUCACACAAAAUGGUUACUGUCAAAAUAUCCUUUGAUCUUCUGGAGCUCAACCAUCCAACUACACUCUCAGCAGUUUAACAAAUGUGUGAGCAGCUUAGUUAAGAAUACUUAUGUCCUCACAUGUUUGUUUUCCAAAGAAUGCAUAUGUCUGCAAGAAGCUUGUGGAACCAUGACUUGUACAAAAACUGAGUCUUGAAGAAUCUUGAAAUACCAUUGUAUUGUCUCUCAGUUUUCUACGAAAUCCUGAAAACUGUUUACUUUUAAGGCGCACAUCAACCAACAUCACAGCUUGUGAAGCUUCUGAAGAUUGUGCUGAAAACAGCACAGUACUAAUGACAUGCAAGAAAUCUUACAUUAACUGUGAUUAUGUUCGUUAUUAUUCUUAUUACACUUAUUUUUUCCCUUCACUAUGAAUUUUGUUUUUGUCAGUGUUCUCAUGCUGAAUAUGAGAUACAUGAGCAAUGCUGCCCAAUGUGUGUCCCUGGAUACCAUGUUCAUUUGCACUGCACCGAUGACACCACCACAACUUGUGUUCCAUGCACUCCAUUAACUUUCAUUGAUGAAGCAAAUGGCCUCACAAGAUGCUUUCCCUGUACUGUAUGUGAUGCAUACCAAGGUUUAAGAGUGAAUAAAGUAUGCACUCGAUCAUCAGAUACUGUUUGUGGGCCACAGAAGGGAUUCUACUGUAUUUACAAAAAGAAAGGCAGCUGCAGAUUAGCUCUGCAACAUUCUGAAUGUAGCCCCGGACAAUAUAUCAAACAAGCAGGUACUGACUCCACAGAUACUGUAUGUGCUGACUGUACAGGUGACUCAUAUUCAAAUGGAUCUUUCUCAUCCUGUCUACCACAUACAAAAUGUGAGGCCCUGGGACUUGCUGAAACAAAUCCAGGAACACAUUCAUCAGACUCUGAAUGUAGAGAUCCCCCUGCUGUAGCAGUCAUUGUCUCUGUUCUUAUAGUUACUUUAAUAUUAAUUACAGUAGCAUGUGUUCUCAUAUUUAAACAUUCAGAAGAGAACACAAUCUUUUAGAUUGUUCAGUUCAUACAGGGAUACAGGAAACAGGAAAAGGAAAUGGUUUACAUGAAAAAGACAUUUCAAAAGUUGUUGGCGACAGGAUAAAUGAUUAAUUACUUGGAACAGAAAAACAAGUCCUGACAACCUGGGAAUGACUACAGUUUCUAAACUACUCACAUUUUUCACCACAUUCUUACAGUACCUUCAUGGUUUGCCACUGUUACUAGCAACUACAGCUUAGCGCUAAAUAUUGUUCAUGUCCAACUGAAGUUUGCAAAAGUGUCAGCUAUCAUAACACCCCCUAACUGCGCAAAUGAUGGCAUUCUUUCUGUAGUCUAUUUUAAAAGUUAGCUAGCCAGUCAAAACUAUACAGUUGUUGCAAAACUUCAGAUUCACAAUACAGCUAGUGUAAGUAGCUUACUGGAACUCUAACACUUUUAAAAAUGCUGGCAACCGCUCUUACAUGAAUAAUAAGGUGGAUAUGGUUUACAGCGUAUGAGAUCAUUUUUUAUCCUUAAGAAAAUUGUAAUUAUAGUUGAAUUUGUUUAAAGACAGAGCCACAAUUUGUUUAGUAAACAACCAUUUAAUAAAAAAAGAAAAAUGUACCAAACUGCUGUACUGAAGAUAUAACAAACUGUGACUUCAAAACUGAAGUAUGUACUGAGCUGUCAUUUUUGUGUUACUACUACAUUGUGUAUUUACCAGGGAUAGAUAGAUGUAGAGAGAUGCUUUUUGAGAAAUUAGAAGAUAUAGGUACAACAGAUGCCUAUGAAAUCUAUUAAAUAGUCAAAAUUACAAAGAGAAAUACUUAGUUCUCUAAUAAUGGUUUGGAAAACAAACAAACA
Molecule: RNA transcript, 2184 nt
Organism: Labeo rohita (rohu)
Lineage: Eukaryota; Metazoa; Chordata; Actinopteri; Cypriniformes; Cyprinidae
Gene name: tumor necrosis factor receptor superfamily member 14-like
Exons: 11
Source: RefSeq, a predicted model, not a curated record